This 497-nucleotide ribosomal RNA is filed under the name uncultured bacterium. RNAcentral's name for it is "partial 16S ribosomal RNA". It matches the Rfam family "Bacterial small subunit ribosomal RNA", at positions 28 to 507 of the family's 1533-position model. The record is from RNAcentral.
GACGAACGCUGGCGGCGUGCCUAAUACAUGCAAGUUGAGCGAUGAAGAUUGGUGCUUGCACCAAUUUGAAGAGCAGCGAACGGGUGAGUAACGCGUGGGGAAUCUGCCUUUGAGCGGGGGACAACAUUUGGAAACGAAUGCUAAUACCGCAUAACAACUUUAAACAUAAGUUUUAAGUUUGAAAGAUGCAAUUGCAUCACUCAAAGAUGAUCCCGCGUUGUAUUAGCUAGUUGGUGAGGUAAAGGCUCACCAAGGCGAUGAUACAUAGCCGACCUGAGAGGGUGAUCGGCCACAUUGGGACUGAGACCCGGCCCAAACUCCUACGGGAGGCAGCAGUAGGGAAUCUUCGGCAAUGGACGAAAGUCUGACCGAGCAACGCCGCGUGAGUGAAGAAGGUUUUCGGAUCGUAAAACUCUGUUGGUAGAGAAGAACGUUGGUGAGAGUGGAAAGCUCAUCAAGUGACGGUAACUACCCAGAAAGGGACGGCUAACUACGUG